Molecule: ribosomal RNA, 301 nt
Filed under: uncultured bacterium
Lineage: Bacteria
Description: partial 16S ribosomal RNA
Rfam family: Bacterial small subunit ribosomal RNA
Source: RNAcentral
CAGCCGCCACGGUAAGACAGAGGAUGCAAGCGUUAUCCGGAAUGAUUGGGCGUAAAGCGCACGUAGGCGGCUUUGUAAGUUAGAGGUGAAAGCCCGGGGCUCAACCCCGGAAUAGCCUUUAAGACUGCAUCGCUUGAACGUCGGAGAGGUGAGUGGAAUUCCGAGUGUAGAGGUGAAAUUCGUAGAUAUUCGGAAGAACACCAGUGGCGAAGGCGGCUCACUGGACGACUGCUGACGCUGAGGUGCGAAAGCGUGGGGAGCAAACAGGAUUAGAUACCCCGGUAGUCCCUGUCUCUUAUAC